Molecule: ribosomal RNA, 229 nt
Filed under: uncultured bacterium
Lineage: Bacteria
Description: partial 16S ribosomal RNA
Rfam family: Bacterial small subunit ribosomal RNA
Source: RNAcentral
UGCGUAGGCGGCCUAUUAAGUCAGUGGUGAAAGGUAUCAGCUUAACUGAUGACGUGCCAUUGAAACUGAUAGGCUUGAGUACAGACGAGGUAGGCGGAAUUUAUGGUGUAGCGGUGAAAUGCAUAGAUACCAUAAAGAACACCAAUUGCGAAGGCAGCUUACUAGACUGAGACUGACGCUGAGGCACGAAAGCGUGGGGAGCGAACAGGAUUAGAUACUCUGGUAGUCC